This is a long non-coding RNA of Myxocyprinus asiaticus (Chinese sucker), 2557 nucleotides long. RefSeq lists it as uncharacterized. The transcript has 3 exons. NCBI's taxonomy places the organism in Eukaryota, Metazoa, Chordata, Actinopteri, Cypriniformes, Catostomidae. The record is from RefSeq and is a predicted model, not a curated record.
AAAAGGAGGCGCUGCUCAAGUGAGGAGUGUGCUGUAUUUAAACUAUCUGGACUUUGCUCUCACUUGGUCUGUUUUCUCUUUCUGUACCAUCGGAAUCAAGUCUACAAACGCGAUCUUCAACGCGAUAGUGCUGUAUUAUGGAUAGCAAAAUUGAAAGUGCUCAGAGGGAGGCAGAGGAGGUGAAAGUCAUUAUGCUGGAAAAUGCAAAUAAAGCAGAAGAACGUGAAGGAAAACUCAAGGAUCAGAGAGCUGAACAACUUCAGUCCACUAGUAAAACUGCAAAGCUAAAAAAUGCAACAAAGCUGAAAGUGAACCAGAAAAUGGAGUUCAUGCGGGCUAAUAAAGGACUUUUAAGCAUCUUAAUGGUCUCAGCUGCUAUUAUAAUUGCUGUGGUGAUUGCCAUGCUCGUCACCAAAGACAUAUAUGAGCACAGGCACUCAGAAGUAGAAAGUGUCUUAGAAGAGCCAUAGCAUCAACUUCAGCAGACUGGAACAAGAAGAGGACAAAUCCCCACUACCACACCAGAACUGUCAGUUUGUUCAGGGGAGUAUGACUGACUUUACCAACACUUGGAACCUCUUUUGACUCAACAAAACCAAUUUUACUGUGGAGAAGUCUUUUCAUUUGUAGACUGUUUAGGACCCACUUUACUGUUUAUUAGGUGUCUUUAACUAUGUAAUUAAGCACUUGAUACAAGGUACUUAUUAUGUACAUGCAUGUUGUUGCAGUAUACUUACAUUUAAAGUACCUGCAUUAAAUUACAUCUGUAGUUACACUGUUAACCUUAUACCCUAACCCUACCUCUAAACCUACCCGUACAACCUACAACCUUAUACAAUAAGUACAUUGUAUUGUAUGUAUUUUAAUAUUAGUACAUUGUAGUUAAAAACACCUAAUAUAAAGUUGGACCAUAGUUUUUAUGGGUUAGAUGUUUCUGGGGUGGGGGCGACAUGUUUAGCUGACAUUAAUUGGUUAUGUUUUAUGAUAUAUCUAAGCUAAGAUGAGAGAAAAUUCAUUAUUAUAAAGAAUUUUCAGGAACCUUUUUAUAAAACUUACAUUUCAAAUGGGAUAAAUCAUAUUUAAGGGAGAACAAUCAUGAUAGUCAUGCUUUAAGAUUGCUUCAAAUUGAAUUUCCAUUAAAAAUGAUUUAAAAAGUGAGUUCUGAAUUACCCAUUUAGCUUUUCAAAGCUCUCACAGUGGAUGGUAAAGUCUUCGAUGGGAAUAGGGCAUAGGGAUUAUCACUUCUGAAUGGAACGCACACUUAGAUUGUUUAGUGUCAAUUGAUAUGUUUAAAGGUGCACUAAAUAAUUUUUUGAGGAAUGUUGAAGUGGCUAACAUUGUCUUACACUGACACCUAGUGGCCUGGAUGCUGCAUCAUUCAAACACAGUAGUUUUCAAUUUCAGAUGCCAUUGAAGAAAUUCACUAAACCCAAUAAGCCAGGAUUAAUUUGAUCCAUGAAUGAAAGUGUCCGAUUACAGGGCAGUUACUGAGAUUAAGAGAGUGGUAUUCAGCUGGUCAUGUGAUGCUAACAUGGCUGCCCCCAUGAGGCGCCCCUGCCACAUGUAGAAUAAAAGAGCUCUUAUAAGGCUACUGAUAUGACUGAACUCUUCAUCUCACAUGAGUGGUCAUGAUUUUACACAUAUGUUUCAAAAUUACUAUUCAUUUUUUUACAAGUAAAACUUUUUAAAUGAGGAAAAAAAAUUACUGAGUGCACCUUUAAGCAUACUUCAAAAUUCACAAUCAUGCACAUUCAUGGUUAACUCAAGGAGUUUUAAGAUUGUUUGCAUUAUAUUUGCAUACAAGAUUGUGGGGAAGGUUGUUCACCAAAAUUCAUUUGGUGUGCUGUAACUUUGUCAUAUAAACACAACUUUACAGAAAAGGCUACCACGAAAGACUUGAUCCCCAUGGAAAUAGUGCUGAUAGUUUGGUAUGUAAACAAAAGAAGAUUAAAAGCAAGGUCCAGUGCACAACAUCCCUUUUUUGUGCACUGUGCUAACAUCGGGUUAACAUAUGAGAUUAAUAUAAUAGUUUAUAUAAUUGUAUAAUAUAAUUGUUUAUAAUAUUUUAAUAAUUUCAUUAUUAUUUAAAAAAUAAGAAUUUAUAAUAAUAAUAAAAUCAUUAUAUACUAAAACCAUAAUUCUAUAUUUUUGACUUGGAAACCACCCAAAGUUGUUAUUACCUUUCAUGAAGUCAUGCCACAAGGUUGAUUCUCAUGUUUGGUUAAAAUGUGGUAUAUAAAUUGGGAAGGAAGUGAAAAUCAUCAGUUGUAUUGCAACCUGGUGGUUUAUACCUUGAAAUUCGCUUAAGCAUCAAUCCAUAAUCACUAUUUUCUCAGUCAAUUGCAAUAAAGCAAUCAGUACAUUUCCAAUAGGAAUGUACUGGUCACACCCAACUAUAUAAUAGUGCAUUAAAUCUAUUGCAAAGAUGAGAGUAAUCAAUCUCUUUGUCAUGGAACCGGCACAUAAUCUUUCAGGAGGACUUUUGUUGUAGGCAACUACUGUGUAAUGAUUUGAUUGCUCCUCUAUAUGACCAAAUAAAUUAUUAUUGUUUGAUGGA